Long non-coding RNA from Sinocyclocheilus grahami, 772 nucleotides. RefSeq lists it as uncharacterized. The transcript has 4 exons. The record is from RefSeq and is a predicted model, not a curated record. Lineage: Eukaryota; Metazoa; Chordata; Actinopteri; Cypriniformes; Cyprinidae.
GGAGGAAGGCUGCUGGACAGAAGACUGUUAUUGUUUUCAGAUACGCUUUUAUCUCAAUAACGAGCUAUCAAUGUGCCCACUGAUGCCCAGAUAGACACCCGCUCUUUCCUGAGUGAGGAAAUGAUUGCUGAGUUCAAGGCUGCUUUCGACACUGAUGGUGGUGGUGAUAUCAGCACCAAGGAGUUAUGAGGAUGCUGGGUCAGAAUCCAACCAGAGAGGAGCUGGAUGCUAUCAUUGAAGUAGUAGAUGAAGAUGAGUUUCUUAAAAUGAUGGAGAACGUCCAGUAAGAAAAAAAUACAUUCCAUCUUCUGCAACCCAUAAUGACAGCAGCCAAGACUCUCAAAAACAACCCAUGCUGAGAGCUUUAAAAGAAAAGAGGAUCGAGGAAACACAACAUCAACAGGGUUCAAAUCGCUAACAAUAAAGAUGGUUGGAAUUCACUUUGAGGGACAGAGAAUAUUAUAGAUCAGUGCCGUCUUGUUGGAAAUGUUCCUCUGGAACUGUGAUGGUGUCUAUAAAUAUCCCUUCAAACCUUUUAAGAGGAAACCACUCACGCCUCUCCCCUCAGCUGUCUUCUACUACACCAGCUUAUUCCCAAUACAUUCACCAACCUUCCUUCAACCCCCUUCCCCUCUCCCUCACCCUUUACAGUGAUUCAAAAUAACUCUGCUACAGUAUUAGCCUUGGGGAAAGACUUGAUGUUGUCAUGGCGAUAAGGAAUCUCUUUAGCUUACGGUAUUGGUGUCUGCAAAUCAAUUAAAAAGGCACAUCU